This 405-nucleotide ribosomal RNA is filed under the name Hadrobunus sp. 'hedini'. RNAcentral's name for it is "partial 12S ribosomal RNA". Lineage: Eukaryota; Metazoa; Arthropoda; Arachnida; Opiliones; Sclerosomatidae. The record is from RNAcentral.
UAUNNNNNNUUNUUGUUGGCGGUAUCUUAUCCUUAUAGAGGAACUUGACCUAUGAUCGAUAUACCACGUUUAAUCUUACUUGUAUUAAUGUUUGUAUACCGUUGUUGUCAGAUUACCUUGUAUAGCUCCUAAGUUUUCUUAAUAAGUGUAUUUAUNUACUAUAUANNUAGGUACACUUUUUACUUCAAAUCAAGGUGCAGUUUAUGUACAAGUUGAGUUGAGUUACUUUGGGUCAGAAGUAGAUGGUAGAAUGAAAUUUUACUUGAAAGAGGAUUUAUUAGUAAGCUUCUAUUAAUUAGAUUAGCUGAAUGGGGGUCUGAGAUAUGUACAAAUCGCCCGUCACUCUGGUUUUAAUAUCAGAUAAGUCGNAACAAAGUAGGGNNAAGGNANCUNGNNCCUNGACAU